RNAcentral lists this ribosomal RNA (489 nucleotides) under uncultured bacterium. Its description in RNAcentral is "partial 16S ribosomal RNA". It matches the Rfam family "Bacterial small subunit ribosomal RNA", at positions 30 to 507 of the family's 1533-position model. The record is from RNAcentral.
UUGAACGCUGGCGGCAGGCCUAACACAUGCAAGUCGCACGGUAACAGGAAACAGCUUGCUGUUUCGCUGACGAGUGGCGGCCGGGUGAGUAAUGUCUGGGAAACUGCCUGAUGGAGGGGGAUAACUACUGGAAACGGUAGCUAAUACCGCAUAACGUCGCAAGACCAAAGAGGGGGACCUUCGGGCCUCUUGCCAUCGGAUGUGCCCAGAUGGGAUUAGCUAGUAGGUGGGGUAACGGCUCACCUAGGCGACGAUCCCUAGCUGGUCUGAGAGGAUGACCAGCCACACUGGAACUGAGACACGGUCCAGACUCCUACGGGAGGCAGCAGUGGGGAAUAUUGCACAAUGGGCGCAAGCCUGAUGCAGCCAUGCCGCGUGUAUGAAGAAGGCCUUCGGGUUGUAAAGUACUUUCAGCGGGGAGGAAGGGAGUAAAGUUAAUACCUUUACUCAUUGACGUUACCCGCAGAAGAAGCACCGGCUAACUCCGUG